This is a long non-coding RNA of Tarenaya hassleriana, 610 nucleotides long. RefSeq lists it as uncharacterized. The record is from RefSeq and is a predicted model, not a curated record. The transcript is spliced from 3 exons. Lineage: Eukaryota; Viridiplantae; Streptophyta; Magnoliopsida; Brassicales; Cleomaceae.
CUCUCAUCAGUUUUCCCUCCGAAGAAUUUUUUUUUCAUUAAUAUGCUUCUCCUCAUUCGUGUGAUACUCAGCUUUCUCUCCUGACAGAGAUGAGUUACAACUCCGAUGAACGUUCUUCUUUGUCAAAGAGUGAGUCAAGUGUGUCUAAAUGUGUACGAACUCAAUGUGAUUGCGGAAGACCAAUUUCACGAAAGACAUCAAACACAGAAAAGAAUCCUGGAAGAAUUUUUUUUAGUUGUUCAUCUCAAGAGAAAAAAUUUCAACAUUAUUUCAAAUGGCUUGAUGAUGCACUAAUUGAAGACAUGAAAGAGAUUCAAAACGAGUUACAGAAAUUGAAGUUGGAAGUGAAGUCGGGAUUUGAAGUAUUCAAAGUCGAGUUGCGGAUGAUCAAUGUUGAAUUGCAGAAGGGGAAUGUGAAGUGCAAAACAAAUGGAUUCAAGGUGGUUGUUGCAGUUAGGGGUGUCAAAAUGGUCGGGCCGGACCGGCCCGGCCCGAGCCCGACAAAAACCCGAAGAAUUACGGGCCGGGUCGGCCCGACCCGAAACACACACGGGCUUAAAAUCUUGGGCCCGAGGCCCAGCCCAAUGGACUUUUUUUGGGUUCGGACCGG